This 477-nucleotide ribosomal RNA is filed under the name uncultured bacterium. Its description in RNAcentral is "bacterial SSU rRNA". It matches the Rfam family "Bacterial small subunit ribosomal RNA", at positions 24 to 491 of the family's 1533-position model. The record is from RNAcentral.
UCAGAUUGAACGCUGGCGGCAGGCUUAACACAUGCAAGUCGAGCGGUAGCACAGGGGAGCUUGCUCCCUGGGUGACGAGCGGCGGACGGGUGAGUAAUGUCUGGGAAACUGCCUGAUGGAGGGGGAUAACUACUGGAAACGGUAGCUAAUACCGCAUAACGUCGCAAGACCAAAGAGGGGGACCUUCGGGCCUCUUGCCAUCAGAUGUGCCCAGAUGGGAUUAGCUAGUAGGUGGGGUAAUGGCUCACCUAGGCGACGAUCCCUAGCUGGUCUGAGAGGAUGACCAGCCACACUGGAACUGAGACACGGUCCAGACUCCUACGGGAGGCAGCAGUGGGGAAUAUUGCACAAUGGGCGCAAGCCUGAUGCAGCCAUGCCGCGUGUGUGAAGAAGGCCUUCGGGUUGUAAAGCACUUUCAGCGAGGAGGAAGGUGGUGAGCUUAAUACGCUCAUCAAUGACGUUACUCGCAGAAGAAGC